CAGUAGCCACGGUAAUACGUAGGGUGCAAGCGUUAAUCGGAAUUACUGGGCGUAAAGCGUGCGCAGGCGGUUUGUUAAGACAGAUGUGAAAUCCCCGGGCUCAACCUGGGAACUGCAUUUGUGACUGGCAAGCUAGAGUCUGGCAGAGGGGGGUGGAAUUCCGCGUGUAGCAGUGAAAUGCGUAGAUAUGCGGAGGAACACCGAUGGCGAAGGCAGCCCCCUGGGCCAACACUGACGCUCAUGCACGAAAGCGUGGGGAGCAAACAGGAUUAGAUACCCCGGUAGUCCCUGUCUCUUAUAC
This 301-nucleotide ribosomal RNA is filed under the name uncultured bacterium. RNAcentral's name for it is "partial 16S ribosomal RNA". It matches the Rfam family "Bacterial small subunit ribosomal RNA", at positions 509 to 807 of the family's 1533-position model. The record is from RNAcentral.